This 409-nucleotide ribosomal RNA is filed under the name uncultured bacterium. RNAcentral's name for it is "bacterial SSU rRNA". It matches the Rfam family "Bacterial small subunit ribosomal RNA", at positions 505 to 916 of the family's 1533-position model. The record is from RNAcentral.
GUGUCAGCCGCCGCGGUAAUACGGAGGGUGCAAGCGUUAUCCGGAUUCACUGGGUUUAAAGGGUGCGUAGGUGGGUUGGUAAGUCAGUGGUGAAAUCCCCGAGCUUAACUUGGGAACUGCCAUUGAUACUAUCAGUCUUGAAUACCGUGGAGGUCAGCGGAAUAUGUCAUGUAGCGGUUAAAUGCUUAGAUAUGACAUAGAACACCAAUUGCGAAGGCAGCUGGCUACGCGAAUAUUGACACUGAGGCACGAAAGCGUGGGGAUCAAACAGGAUUAGAUACCCUGGUAGUCCACGCCCUAAACUAUGGAUACUCGACAUCGGCGAUACACUGUUGGUGUCUGAGCGAAAGCAUUAAGUAUCCCACCUGGGAAGUACGAUCGCAAGAUUGAAACUCAAAUGAAUUGACGG